ACACUCUGGGUUCUCUUCAGAUGGUAUAAAUCUUUCACCUUUUACUAAAGAUUUCCGUGGAGUAAUUCCAGAGCUCUGUUCUAGAAUCUUUGCUUUGCAUAAAUGUGUCUGGGG
This is a small nuclear RNA of Sardina pilchardus (European sardine), 114 nucleotides long. RefSeq annotates it as U5 spliceosomal RNA. The record is from RefSeq and is a predicted model, not a curated record. The transcript has a single exon. Lineage: Eukaryota; Metazoa; Chordata; Actinopteri; Clupeiformes; Clupeidae.